GGCUACUCCCCCGGCCCCGGCAGACCUGGGACUGGCCCAGUCGCCCGCUGGGGCCCUUUGCCACUCCCUUGGGAAGGAGAGCCGAGACCUCAGUUCCCGACGGCUCUUGCGGGGCACAGGUGAGCCCUGGCUGCGCGCGCGGCCCCUCCUCCCCGGCGCCUCCCAGAUGGGCAGCAGGAGGCUCCGGAGGUGGCGCCCAGGCUCUGAGCUACCCUAGGACUGCAGACUAGCGGGCAUUGGCCAGAGACAUGGCCCAGCCACUGGCCUUCAUCCUCGAUGUCCCUGAGACCCCAGGGGACCAGGGCCAGGACCUCAGCCCCUAUGAUGAAAGCGAAGUGCACGACUCCUUCCAGCAGCUCAUCCAGGAGCAGAGCCAGUGCACGGCCCAGGAGGGGCUGGAGCUGCAGCAGAGAGAGCGAGAGGUGACAGGAAGUAGCCAGCAGACACUCUGGCGGCCCGAGGGCACCCAGAGCACGGCCACACUGCGCAUCCUGGCCAGCAUG
RNAcentral lists this long non-coding RNA (503 nucleotides) under Pan troglodytes (chimpanzee). RNAcentral's name for it is "long non-coding RNA NONPTRT007355". The record is from RNAcentral. Lineage: Eukaryota; Metazoa; Chordata; Mammalia; Primates; Hominidae.